GGUCUGAUGCCACGUCACCGAUAGCUUUAACAGCGUUGACUGGCGAUGCUAUGAUUGGACCGAAAGUGAUUCCAUGUUUCACACACUGAUAGGAACCGUUGGUUCACGGAGCCGAUUUCUGCGAUUACAUUU
Small nucleolar RNA from Alnus glutinosa, 132 nucleotides. RefSeq annotates it as small nucleolar RNA snoR2/U65. The transcript has a single exon. Lineage: Eukaryota; Viridiplantae; Streptophyta; Magnoliopsida; Fagales; Betulaceae. The record is from RefSeq and is a predicted model, not a curated record.